Patiria miniata (bat star) is the source of this 412-nucleotide long non-coding RNA. RefSeq lists it as uncharacterized. The transcript has 2 exons. The record is from RefSeq and is a predicted model, not a curated record. Lineage: Eukaryota; Metazoa; Echinodermata; Asteroidea; Valvatida; Asterinidae.
UCAUCGGACCGCGAUCGGCGCGUAAUGCGCAUGUCAGCUGGAUUAGCAAUUUACCGGGCGAUGGGAAACUGUGUGAGAUAUGGCUGCAGUUUCAUCCAUCAAUUUUACUGGGAUUUUUUUCCGAAGAGCGGGACUUUUCGGGUGGAAGGAAGGACCUUGAUUGUACGGGGGGCUUUGAAGUAGACCUGGGCUGAUGCCAGAAUAAAGAAAUAUAAAUAAGAGUGACUGAAGCUGGUUUCUGCUGGAUGGAAGCCAAUUGAACUGGUUUGAUUUCCCCCUCCAAGGAAAGUGAUCUAUCAAGUUGAGGCAUCCUCUGCUAGCUAGACUUCAUUUCGGAUAUUUUUUAAGAGAAGAAAAACGAAGGAAAAUCGACUUGACAGUUGAUCUGUUCGCAUCACCCACCCAUGACAAG